Microtus ochrogaster (prairie vole) is the source of this 129-nucleotide non-coding RNA. Lineage: Eukaryota; Metazoa; Chordata; Mammalia; Rodentia; Cricetidae. The record is from Ensembl.
ACUGAGGACCAAGGAGUCUGAGUCUGACAGAGCAGGCCUUUGCUGAGCCCUCCUCCUAGGCAAAGGGGUGGAGAAGGCAGCCCUGAUUGGAGGAAACCAGAGGGUUGGUUGAGUUACGAGCCAGCAUUU